CGCAACAACAACCGAACAAGUAAUUGAGUUAGAAAAAGAUCAAACUUACCCGACAUCGAGCCCAGCUCGCUCGAGUGGUUGUUAUUGCUUAAACUAGUGUUGUUGUUGUUAUUACUGGUGCUAUUCUGGUGGUCGUGAUCCUCUUUGCAAUACAGCGCUCCUCCGUCCCGUAACGCGAAUUCGUCACCUACGAGUUGCAUGAAAACACAGUUUCUUUAUAAGCGAAAGUUGACUAAACGUUGCCUUAUCAGGAAUGCAUUGCAGAAAAAUUACUCAAAAAUAUGAAAACUGUACGUUUUGCCGUCCCUCACGAAGCAGGUACAGCUUUCGUCUAGGAACUGGCGGCACUCUUGGCACUUGAGGCAAGCCGCGUGCC
Long non-coding RNA from Aedes aegypti (yellow fever mosquito), 376 nucleotides. RefSeq lists it as uncharacterized. Lineage: Eukaryota; Metazoa; Arthropoda; Insecta; Diptera; Culicidae. The record is from RefSeq and is a predicted model, not a curated record. The transcript is spliced from 3 exons.